Molecule: ribosomal RNA, 896 nt
Filed under: Triticum aestivum (bread wheat)
Lineage: Eukaryota; Viridiplantae; Streptophyta; Magnoliopsida; Poales; Poaceae
Description: partial small subunit ribosomal RNA
Source: RNAcentral
CAGUGAAAGUAGGUACAAGUUUUACAGAUUUUACUACAAACAAAUUUAAACGAGGAUACGGUACAAUUUUACUAAUUUAAGUAUUGAUAAAUUGGCAUUGAGCCUUAAAUUAUUUGAAAUAUACAUUAACCCCAUAUUUUUACGGAUCAAAUUGUACCACCGGAAUGAAACGUACAAAUUGUUGAGAUUUUAGACCAAAUCCCGUCUUGUCAUGGUUUAGAUAUUAUACGAGUACUCCUCAAAGGCCUUAACACCAAACAACAAGGCCGGAGUAAAUUUGAACGGAUCUAUCCAUCAAAAGAAAACGAAGUGGGAGAACGGUACAAAUUGUUGUAAAUUAUAACAACCCAUGUAUUUGUUCUAACUUGAUUUACUUAGUGCACCACAAGGCAGUUAUACGUUGAGCAACGUAUAACUCGAGGUGAAUUGAACAUCACAACAAACACGUGAAACGGUACGGUACGAAGUAAUUUGGCCUGUACGUAGUAUGAACUAACACGUAGUACGGUACAGAUACACCACCAACAAAUGAUACAACACACGAAGAAAGGCCACAACGAAGAAGCCCAACCAAGGCCAUUGCAGCGCAAACACUCCUUGGCAAGCUGAAGCAGGCAAACAGAAGAAGUACCUGAGCAAGAAGAAGGAACGCCCUAAAGUCGAACGUCCACGGCUACUCAGGCACGUCUACUGCGUUGGUUCAAGUUCCUCCUCGAGCUACUUCUAGAACAUGAAACACAACAAAGCAAGAUCAACUAGUCAUCACCUCGGGUCAACCCCAGCUAGCCCCUGGAAAACAGCGUAAACCCCAAGAAGAAAAUAAAACCGAGGCAUCAGCCCGGAACUAACAUAGACUAACUACAUUACGAAAUAAGUACAUUAACCCACUUCACCGC